UACGGGAGGCAGCAGUGGGGAAUAUUGCACAAUGGGCGAAAGCUGAUGCAGCGACGCCGCGUGAGGGAUGACGGCCUUCGGGUUGUAAACCUCUUUCAGCAGGGACGAAGCGCAAGUGACGGUACCUGCAGAAGAAGCACCGGCUAACUACGUGCCAGCAGCCGCGGUAAUA
This 172-nucleotide ribosomal RNA is filed under the name uncultured Rhodococcus sp. RNAcentral's name for it is "partial 16S ribosomal RNA". It matches the Rfam family "Bacterial small subunit ribosomal RNA", at positions 340 to 525 of the family's 1533-position model. Lineage: Bacteria; Bacillati; Actinomycetota; Actinomycetes; Mycobacteriales; Nocardiaceae. The record is from RNAcentral.